This 169-nucleotide long non-coding RNA is filed under the name Columba livia (rock pigeon). RNAcentral describes it as "partial uncharacterized LOC102099048". Lineage: Eukaryota; Metazoa; Chordata; Aves; Columbiformes; Columbidae. The record is from RNAcentral.
GCCGAGCUGGGCACCCACGUCAUCGAGGUGCUGGCGUACAACCGGCACACCUACGAGACGGUGGCACAGCGCCUCGUCAUCACCGUCAUCCCUGCGCCAGGUGGGGACCCCCCGUACCAGGCUGAGUUCCUGGUGGGCAACAGGAACGUGGAGGAGCUGCUGCCGGCGG